This is a long non-coding RNA of Lemur catta (Ring-tailed lemur), 264 nucleotides long. RefSeq lists it as uncharacterized. The record is from RefSeq and is a predicted model, not a curated record. The transcript is spliced from 3 exons. Lineage: Eukaryota; Metazoa; Chordata; Mammalia; Primates; Lemuridae.
GCCAGAAUGGGCCCAUAUUUUACAGCAUAGCUGAGCACUGACUCACUCUGUAACCCAGGGUUAUAUCGUUUAACCUCAUGGGGCUUGCUGUCCAUCCAGCUGGAAAAUUUGAAGGGUGAAGCUCGCUGGCCUGAGAACUGAAGAUCCAGCCCAGAGAAGAGCUGGCCUAUGUACCUGGCAGAUCUGAGAUCAAGCUUAUGAGCCAUAGCGAAUUUUAUCUCAGAGAACUAAGAGGACCCAGAAAUGAAAUUAUGUACACUAGAC